AAAAUAGAGCAAGACACAUACAUGUCCCAUCCCAUCCCCCCCCAAAAAAGAUGAUUGUGUUCUGGGUACUCCAGACCUAUGACCCGUGGAAUGAGCCUUGAAGAUUGUCCUGAUGGACCCAACUCAACCGUGAAUGGAAUCUGCAACUAAGAAGCUACUAAAAUCAAAGGAUCAGCUAUUCCACUCCAAGAAGUAAACAUGGUUGUGAGAAACAUUGCAUUAUAAUCAUGUCAAAUUUGAACUUGAGGCUCCCAAGGCCAGAAGUAAAAGAGGAGCAUGUGCUCCUGCUACAGAAGGCCAAAUGAAGCAGAUGAAGACCACUCAGGCUGAGACAAUG
Molecule: long non-coding RNA, 337 nt
Filed under: Monodelphis domestica (gray short-tailed opossum)
Lineage: Eukaryota; Metazoa; Chordata; Mammalia; Didelphimorphia; Didelphidae
Description: lncRNA (ENSMODG00000043410.1)
Source: RNAcentral